This 372-nucleotide ribosomal RNA is filed under the name uncultured organism. RNAcentral's name for it is "partial 16S ribosomal RNA". It matches the Rfam family "Bacterial small subunit ribosomal RNA", at positions 527 to 896 of the family's 1533-position model. The record is from RNAcentral.
GUAGGUGGCAAGCGUUGUCCGGAAUUAUUGGGCGUAAAGCGCGCGCAGGCGGUUCUUUAAGUCUGAUGUGAAAGCCCACGGCUCAACCGUGGAGGGUCAUUGGAAACUGGAGAACUUGAGUACAGAAGAGGAAGGCGGAAUUCCACGUGUAGCGGUGAAAUGCGUAGAGAUGUGGAGGAACACCAGAGGCGAAGGCGGCUUUCUGGUCUGUAACUGACGCUGAGGCGCGAAAGCGUGGGGAGCAAACAGGAUUAGAUACCCUGGUAGUCCACGCCGUAAACGAUGAGUGCUAAGUGUUAGGGGGUUUCCGCCCCCCUUAGUGCUGCAGCUAACGCAUUAAGCACUCCGCCUGGGAGUACGGCCGCAAGGCUG